Molecule: ribosomal RNA, 449 nt
Filed under: Latreutes fucorum
Lineage: Eukaryota; Metazoa; Arthropoda; Malacostraca; Decapoda; Hippolytidae
Description: partial 16S ribosomal RNA
Rfam family: Archaeal large subunit ribosomal RNA
Source: RNAcentral
AAUAUAAAUUUUAAAGGGCCGCGGUACACUGACCGUGCUAAGGUAGCAUAAUCAAUAGUCUUUUAAUUGGAGACUGGAAUGAACGGCUAGAUAAAAAGUUUACUGUCUAUAUAAUAAAUCUUGAAUUUUACUUUUAAGUGAAAAGGCUUAAAUAUAUUAAAGUGACGAUAAGACCCUAUAAAACUUUAUAAUAAAUUAUGAUUAUCUUAAAUUUUAAAUCAAAAUAUAUUUCAUAUAUUACUAUUUAGUUGGGGCGACUGAGAUAUAAAAAAAUCUGUCUUUAGUAAAAAAUACUUAUAAUUAGAUCAAGAUCCUUUAUUAAGGAUUAAAAGGCUAAGUUACUUUAGGGAUAACAGCGUGAUUUUUCUUAAGAGUUCUUAUCGACAGAAUAAGUUGCGACCUCGAUGUUGAAUUAAAUUUUCUUUUAGGUGCAGGAGUUUAAAAAGUAG